Long non-coding RNA from Rhinichthys klamathensis goyatoka, 675 nucleotides. RefSeq lists it as uncharacterized. The transcript is spliced from 3 exons. NCBI's taxonomy places the organism in Eukaryota, Metazoa, Chordata, Actinopteri, Cypriniformes, Leuciscidae. The record is from RefSeq and is a predicted model, not a curated record.
UUACAGGGACAGAAGAACACGCGUGUGUGUAUCCGGUGGAGAGAGGCUCAUGAUGCUGAAUGCUGUCAUCAAAGGCUUUGACUUUUGUGGUGGAGCAGGACCUGCAAGGAAAGAUGAUGGCAGCAUUUGUUUUAGGGAUUUUACUCAAAUUUAAAGGUCAUUUUUGUUAUUUUUAAUACAUAAAUCAAAUGAUAUUGUGCUGUUAAAAUGACUGCUUUUGUAUAAUGUUUGUGCAUUUUUCUAGGAUCUGAAGUCUGCAGACUGGUGUGAGCACUGAGGAUGAGGAGCCCAGAGCUGAAUCCUGGAAGUGGUGCCAUGGAUGAGACCCUCCAUCACUCCUUCUGCCCUUAUGAGACGCUCCAUCUCUCCAUCUGCUCUUAUCGCCUCAGAUUGUGAAGCGCAGCACAGCAACAAGCUCCGGCACGAAGGCACGGUCACCUCUGGUGAAUUCAUCAGAGUAAAGCCGCAGAAUGGGAACCGCUGUAUUGAGAUGGCAGUAGAUGUGGGGCUCAGCGCCUGUAAAUACAUGCUUGUAGUUUGAAUAAAGAUUUGUUUCAUGUGUUGUUGAAUUGUAUAUGCAUUUCUUUAUUGUGAUGGUUACUUUUAUUUGUUCUUUUACUCAUUUAUUCAUGUUUCUUAUUGUUGUCAGUAUAUAAAAUAUAAUUAUUUAAUUAA